Long non-coding RNA from Molossus molossus (Pallas's mastiff bat), 888 nucleotides. RefSeq lists it as uncharacterized. Lineage: Eukaryota; Metazoa; Chordata; Mammalia; Chiroptera; Molossidae. The record is from RefSeq and is a predicted model, not a curated record. The transcript has 3 exons.
CUUUCCUUCCAAUGGGGCAUUUAAAAGGAAGUAGUGACAUUUGAACUAUGUUUGUGACAGUGCACAUAAGAGGAAAAACAUCUCUGAGACAUUUAUUUGUAACUUAUUUUUAUCCACCCAGUGCUCAAAAAUCCAGCACUCAGAAUGGAGUGCUUCAGGUUGCUGUCACCUUUCCCAAGGUUGAUCAUGACACUGUAUUUAUAGAUUACAUUUGUUUAGCCAUCAUCCAGUGAUGGGCGCUGGGUUGCUUCCUGUUUUUGGCUGUUGUGAAUAAGGCUGCAGUGAGCACAGGACAAUCAUAGAAAACUUCUAAAGUAUAGCAAAAAUAUUACAGACAACAAUAUUACCUAAAGGAAACCACUAUGAACACCUUGCUGCAUAUCCUUCCGGUCUUUUUAAUAUUGAGUCACAGUUUGCUUUCAUUAUAAAAAUAAUGUACCAGCGAGAUAGACCGUGGGAGUGGUAUGGUUUGCAGGACUGAAAUCAUCAAAAUGGUUCCGAUCACACAGAGAACUGUUCAUUUACGUGUUAGUCUUUCAUGAUCUGAAGGAAGAGUACAGCAUCUCUCAAAAGGUAACGAUUUGAUAUUUCAGAAUUGUUAAUGGCCUUUUAGCCUUUCUGUGGCCUCCUAUAAAUUAAAGUAAUUUCUAGCAGGCUGGAUGACACUUGUUUUGUCAUGGAUCUUAAAAUCCCUCACGUUUUCUCAAAGCAGUUUUCAAGUUGUCAUAGUAACGGCAUGAUGUUUGGAGGGUCUUUUUAGUAGUUCUUAGUUAGAGUUAAUUAAUUUUAUUAACUCUGGAUGUUUUUCUUUUUACUCCUCUGUGACAAAGAAGGGCCAUCAUUGCUCAAAUAUGUAUUUCACAUUCUUUAUUUUUUGGUGACUGUAGU